GAGGGUGUAGCUUAGUGGUAGAGUGCAUGCUUAGCAUGCAUGAGGUCCUGGGUUCAAUCUCCAGUAUCUCCA
RNAcentral lists this transfer RNA (72 nucleotides) under Camelus bactrianus (Bactrian camel). It matches the Rfam family "tRNA". Rfam says of the family: Transfer RNA (tRNA) molecules are approximately 80 nucleotides in length. Their secondary structure includes four short double-helical elements and three loops (D, anti-codon, and T loops). Further hydrogen bonds mediate the characteristic L-shaped molecular structure. tRNAs have two regions of fundamental functional importance: the anti-codon, which is responsible for specific mRNA codon recognition, and the 3' end, to which the tRNAs corresponding amino acid is attached (by aminoacyl-tRNA synthetases). tRNAs cope with the degeneracy of the genetic code in two manners: having more than one tRNA (with a specific anti-codon) for a particular amino acid; and 'wobble' base-pairing, i.e. permitting non-standard base-pairing at the 3rd anti-codon position. RNAcentral also lists the same sequence under 2 other names. Lineage: Eukaryota; Metazoa; Chordata; Mammalia; Artiodactyla; Camelidae. The record is from Rfam by way of RNAcentral.